This 1446-nucleotide long non-coding RNA is filed under the name Gallus gallus (chicken). Lineage: Eukaryota; Metazoa; Chordata; Aves; Galliformes; Phasianidae. The record is from RNAcentral.
CUGAGGUGAGGCGCUGCCCGCGGGGAGGGGCCGCGCCGCCGCCCUUAUCCGCCCGCGCAGCGCCGCCUGGGGCUCGCGAUAGGGCCGGCCGCCCCCAGCUCCCCGCCCUGCCCCGGCGGCGGGCCCCGAUCCCAUUUAUGAAGAUCAAACGUGAUAUCCAUCCUGAGAGCGCAACUGCGGUGAAUAAAUACCUCUGGCUUAGAGCUAAUUAAGAAAUAACAACCCCAGCUGUUGGACCGACCUGCAGAAGCCUUGUUGUAACCCUGACAUCUGCCCGCCUCCAGCAGUCCCUGCGAGUUCCUGGCCACAUCAGCCUUCCCUGGUCCUGCAGCAGCGUGCAGAGGUGAGCAGUCAGGUUCCCCAUCAGGUAAUUCUGGUUCUCCUUCCAGGGCAGCAGCCCCGGUACAGCAGGAAGGCAGCCCAGGUCCUGGCAGGGCGAUGGGAAGGGCCCUUUGUGGGCAGGACUGCCUGCAGAUGGGCUGAAGGAAUCAGUAUUCCACCAACUGCUAGAAGAAAAUUAAACUUUAUUUAAAAAUUCUUCUAAUGUAGAAAACGAGAGGAGACGAAGGCAAAAACGAAUGCCCCUGGUUCCAUCUCAUUACAGGAGUUACUGUAUGUACAGCUUCAGAAAGGAGCACUGGCAGAAGGUACACAUCCUACUUAUGGAGCACUACAAACACUUAACAAUACGUUGUACAAACCUGACGUAACAUUGAAAGGUUCACUGCAGGAAACAAUUAAAUACAGUCGCUAAGACAGACAGUAGAAGAGCACAGACUGAUGUUAUUUCAUCCCGAAUCCUCCGUGUUCCAGGCAGCCCAAACCACCCUCAAUCAGCCCCCACUGCCUUGGUGAGAAGCUGCUGCAUCCCAAAGGAUUGGGAUCGCUCUGCAUGGGCUGGAGGUCAGCGGCACAGAGGGGGACACCACCAAACCCUUUCUAUCCUAGUUUGACUUUCUGGCCAACGUGAAGAACUGAAUCAAAUCAAAGCAGUGAAGCAAUGCUGUGCUGCACCUCGCGUGCCUAUAGGCGGCGUCGCAGCUGAAGGCCCAGCUCGUUGAGCAGUGUACGUUUUUGCACGUGUGGGACAACAACAGAGAGAGCUCGUGAGUUUCCUUUCUCUGUUUUUGAGUUCCCUAUCCCCAAAAUGAAUUUGAUUUCAUGUGUACACGGGCCUUCCCAUACCUAUCCUGUAGGAAAUGGCAAACACUGUUCUUCAGACUGCAUUCUCUAUACAUAUAUAAGUUUUUACACUAUCUACAAAACAGCGAUUAGAUGUUCCUGUUUAAGUUCUUGCUACUCAUUUAAAAAUACCGGAGGAAAAAAAACUGUACAGUUUCCUAAAUUACAUCUUUAGAAGAAUAAUUAUUAUUAUUUUUUAGAAGUUCAUAAAAGACUUCGUGUUUGUUUCUAUAGAGAAUUCAAUGAUCGGACAAGAAAGGUUAG